UUGGAGGGCAAGUCUGGUGCCAGCAGCCGCGGUAAUUCCAGCUCCAAUAGCGUAUAUUAAAGUUGUUGCAGUUAAAAAGCUCGUAGUUGAAUUUCGGGAUCAAAUUGUCGGUCGUGCCUCGGUACGCACUGGUAUUAUUGGUUCCUACCUUCUGAAGAACCGCGAUGUCAUUAGUUUGGUGUCGUGGGGAAUCAGGACUGUUACUUUGAAAAAAUUAGAGUGUUUAAAGCAGGCUUACGCUUGAAUACAUUAGCAUGGAAUAAUGAAAUAGGACGUUUGAUUCUAUUUUGUUGGUUUCUAGGAUUGACGUAAUGAUUAAUAGGGAUAGUUGGGGGCAUUAGUAUUCAAUUGUCAGAGGUGAAAUUCUUGGAUUUAUUGAAGACUAACUACUGCGAAAGCAUUUGCCAAGGAUGUUUUCAUUAAUCAAGAACGAAAGUUAGGGGAUCGAAGACGAUCAGAUACCGUCGUAGUCUUAACCAUAAACUAUGCCGACUAGGGAUCGGAUGAUGUUAAUUUUUUAAUGACUCAUUCGGCGCCUUACGGGAAAC
RNAcentral lists this ribosomal RNA (548 nucleotides) under uncultured Glomeromycotina. Its description in RNAcentral is "SSU rRNA". It matches the Rfam family "Eukaryotic small subunit ribosomal RNA", at positions 548 to 1098 of the family's 1831-position model. Lineage: Eukaryota; Fungi; Glomeromycota. The record is from RNAcentral.